AUACCUUUCUUGGCCUUUUGGCUAAGAUCAAGUGUAGUAUCUGUUCUUAUCAGUUUAAUAUCUGAUAUGUGGGCCAUGUGUCCACAAUGAUAUUAAUUUUUUUUUUUGGGGAAGGGUCCACCACAGUGGCAGUGGCUUGCCACUGGAGUCCUUACGUGUCGCCUGGGUGUUGCACUACUGCCCGGGCCAGGCGCACCCCAA
This is a small nuclear RNA of Lolium perenne, 201 nucleotides long. RefSeq annotates it as U2 spliceosomal RNA. The record is from RefSeq and is a predicted model, not a curated record. NCBI's taxonomy places the organism in Eukaryota, Viridiplantae, Streptophyta, Magnoliopsida, Poales, Poaceae.